Molecule: ribosomal RNA, 555 nt
Filed under: uncultured Bacteroidota bacterium
Lineage: Bacteria; Pseudomonadati; Bacteroidota
Description: bacterial SSU rRNA
Rfam family: Bacterial small subunit ribosomal RNA
Source: RNAcentral
CUACGGGAGGCAGCAGUAGGGAAUAUUGGUCAAUGGACGCAAGUCUGAACCAGCCAUGCCACGUGCAGGAUGACGGCCCUCUGGGUUGUAAACUGCUUUUAUAUGGGAAGAAACCCCGGGAUGCGUUCCGGGCUGACGGUACCAUACGAAUAAGGAUCGGCUAACUUCGUGCCAGCAGCCGCGGUAAGACGAAGGAUCCAAGCGUUGUCCGGAUUUACUGGGUUUAAAGGGUGCGUAGGCGGAUGCUUAAGCCAGUGGUGAAAUCUCUCAGCUCAACUGAGAAACUGCCAUUGGAACUGGGCAUCUUGAAUUCGAUUGAGGUAGAUGGAAUAUAACAUGUAGCGGUGAAAUGCUUAGAUAGGUUAUGGAACACCGAUUGCGAAGGCAGUCUACUAAGUCGAUAUUGACGCUGAGGCACGAAAGCGUGGGUAGCGAACAGGAUUAGAUACCCUGGUAGUCCACGCCCUAAACGUUGAUUACUCGCUGUUGGCGAUACACUGUCAGCGGCUAAGCGAAAGCUUAAGUAAUCCACCUGGGAAGUACGACCGCAAGUUG